UACGAAGGGGGCUAGCGUUGCUCGGAAUCACUGGGCGUAAAGCGCACGUAGGCGGAUCUUUAAGUCAGGGGUGAAAUCCUGGAGCUCAACUCCAGAACUGCCUUUGAUACUGGGGAUCUCGAGUCCGGAGGAGGUGAGUGGAACUCCGAGUGUAGAGGUGAAAUUCGUAGAUAUUCGGAAGAACACCAGUGGCGAAGGCGGCUCACUGGUCCGGUACUGACGCUGAGGUGCGAAAGCGUGGGGAGCAAACAGG
This 253-nucleotide ribosomal RNA is filed under the name uncultured bacterium. RNAcentral describes it as "partial 16S ribosomal RNA". It matches the Rfam family "Bacterial small subunit ribosomal RNA", at positions 524 to 776 of the family's 1533-position model. The record is from RNAcentral.